UUCGGUUGGAAUCGGGGUGGCGUUCCGGCAGCGACUGGCGAGCGGCCGCGGUUGGGGAACGCGGCUGAGAGGGGCGGCGCGCGAGAGCAGACGCUCGCCGCCGCCGCCGCCGGCGGUUGGGGAAGACGCAGUCGGCGGCGGCUGGGAGGAGCAGCCGGCGGCUACCACCACAUCACCGGCCACCACCCCAAGGUCCACCGCUGACGGAAACCAGCGUCCUAUCGACGAUGUCUUCCCAGAACUGCAGCGAUGGCAUGGAGCUUAGAAGAGCUAGAUUAGGGAGGGGUUGUCAUGGCUAGCUGCGGCUCUUGUUGGAGGGUUUCUCGCGCCGUCGCUCCUUGCUGCUACAGCUGCCGGCGCCGCUGGUUGCUGCUAGGUGCCGCUGCCGGCUGCCGCCGUACUCUAAUCUUGCCUCCCGUCGCAGCCACCAGAACCUGUGUGUCCUCGUUGCUCGUCCACCAAGGAGGGAAAAAAGGAGAUGGCAGGGAGAUAGCCAGCACCCCUGUUGCAGGUUUGCUCUGUCCGCACAAGCAGGACCUGGGAAGAGGGAUAGAAAGACAGAAUUAAAGAAUAGGAUUUUGGAAACCCAGGCAGAAUCACCUUCACCUUCUCGGCUUAGUCAACCAAUUGCAGGAUUCGGUUUCAGCGGGAGCAGGGCGCACUGGAGUUUCUUUUGACGUCGUUAUGAAAUCAGGAGGCUGGGGUGAUAUUACCAAGGUGGAAAUGGAUCCAUUGUUGUUGCCGCUGCUACUGGAAAAAAAAUUCUUGCUGUUGACGCUUGCAGACUGAAGCUAUCGCAGCUGAAAUUGUUAUCUAUUUGGCAAAUGAUCUCGCUGUCUCUCAAAAAAAGUUGGCAAAUGAGCUUGGUGUUUACACGCCUAUGAGAUUUUCUCUUGCUUUAGCUUGACGGCAACCCAUUCAUCCAUCAGAAGUUCCUUGUGCUCUGCUGUGAUUUGAGUAAUAUUUUGCAGGUUGUUGCCUCUUGAAAUGAGCAAAUUGACCUGGGCACUUCUCAUGACUCAGCUUUCAGGCAAAUCAUUUUCUAUGACUGCCAGUGUAGAUCAUGCCAUGAUUAACGUGGCUUUUUCUUGAGAAUAUUACCACUCCUUCACUUAGGCAUCAGCAGAGAAUGUUGCAAAUGGAGUAUAAACACUGCAAUCUCAUCAAAAAAGACCUCUCGGAAGAUCAUUUGCCGAACAAAUUGUUCUAUAUGCAAAGAAAUUUCAACAUCUAUAUGAAGUUCAGGAGACGGAUCCUAGAUAACUCUUGCAAUUUGUCACGGCUCUCUUUUUUUUUGGGAAAAUUUGUCACGGCUCUCUCAGUGUAAUUAGCAUUGGAAAGUGAAGUGAUCACAUUACCUGUUCCUGAAAUUAGUUAACUGUGCUGAGUUACUUCUCAGCUCUCGCCCAAAGGAAAAAGUAUACUUUGUGCCCG
Long non-coding RNA from Brachypodium distachyon (stiff brome), 1434 nucleotides. RefSeq lists it as uncharacterized. The transcript has 6 exons. NCBI's taxonomy places the organism in Eukaryota, Viridiplantae, Streptophyta, Magnoliopsida, Poales, Poaceae. The record is from RefSeq and is a predicted model, not a curated record.